CCUUGAUAUGGGUUGGUGAAAUUGGAGCUAAUGACUAUGCAUAUAUAGUAGGAUCUUCUGUCUCGGAUAGAACAAUUCAAGAGCUUGCAAUCAAGAGAACAACUGAUUUCUUAGAGGUAACUUAUGUGUUCAUACAACUACAUACAUGGUGUUCACUUAAAACCUACAUUUAGCAACACAAUUCUAUAAUGUUAUAUGAUUUGUGUUUGAUCUGUCCACAAAAUGCCAAAAGUACAAUAUAAGCAGGUCGUAAUUGAGUGAAUACAAAAUUCAAAAUUUUUUUGUUGGUGAAUGCAUUUCUAAUAUCCUCUGGUAUACUGAGAGAAGAGCAACAGGAACAAACGGAAGUAUGAAAGAAAAAUGCUAUGUGGCAAAAUUAAUAUGAAACUAGCUCUGACCAUAUAUGAUCCUAGCUUGUGUUGUCAUCCCAGAAAUUGUUCAGGAACUUACAGAAACAAAACUUAAUAAAAAUUGACUAGAAUUUAAGUUCUUUAACAACUAAUAUGUUCAAAAAACAUAUAUAUUAAUUAAGCACCAUGUUACAAAUAUUUAUAGGAAUACGAAAAUAAUAAUUUCAACUGUGUAACAAGAGCUUUUCAAUAGUUAAAUUAUGCACUCAUCGAUCAGAAUGAAAAUAGGACAUGCAGUAAGAUAUGGCAAAGCAGAUAUCGGGAAUAGGUUUCUUACCUAUUAUUUGUGAUUCAGAUAUUGUUGUAUAAGGGUGCAAAGUAUGUUGUUGUGCAAGGUCUUCCUCCAACAGGAUGCCUCACAUUGGCAAUGUAUCUCUCUCGAGAAGAUGACCGAGAUGACAUUGGAUGUGUUGGAAGUGUGAACAAGCGGAGCUACAGUCACAACACCAUCUAUCAAGCCAAAUUGCAAGUUUUUAGGAAACAGUUUCCAGAUGCUAUAAUUGUUUAUGCUGAUUACUGGAAUGCUUACCACACUGUCAUAAAGAAUGCACAUAAUUACGGCUUCAAUGAGCUGUACAAAGUUUGCUGUGGAUCCAGUGGUGGGCAGUAUAACUUUGAUUCUUCUGGACCGUGUGGCUCGCCUGUCUCAACUACCUGUGCCAAUCCCUCUGAG
RNAcentral lists this long non-coding RNA (1083 nucleotides) under Daucus carota (carrot). Its description in RNAcentral is "long non-coding RNA (DCAR_LNC001474)". The record is from RNAcentral. Lineage: Eukaryota; Viridiplantae; Streptophyta; Magnoliopsida; Apiales; Apiaceae.